RNAcentral lists this small RNA (2655 nucleotides) under Histoplasma capsulatum var. duboisii H88. RNAcentral describes it as "Histoplasma capsulatum H88 hypothetical RNA". The record is from RNAcentral. Lineage: Eukaryota; Fungi; Ascomycota; Eurotiomycetes; Onygenales; Ajellomycetaceae.
UGGUCUGUUUCCCUAGAAAACCUCGAGCUACAUAUUCAAGUCCCGUUGAAGAGGGACAUCGUCCGAAUUAUACAAAUGCACAAAUAUCCCAUGGACUUGCCACCGGAACAUACAUAUAUCAACUUGCACAGCUUAAACACCUAUAUUCGCGACGCUUUGAAAUAGACGAUGAAUGCGCAAGGAGCACCCUCCAUUGUCCCUGGCUCCACGGGGGGGGGAGAAGCAGAUAUUCUUCUGCAAAUCUUGAAAAGCAACCGGGGUCUUCACUAACGACAAAACCAACAUACAAUGGGUGGGCACCAUUAGUACAGCUCCGCCAUUCACAUUCCGGUCAAUCCUCCUUCCCACAGAACUUCGAAAGAAAAUAAAAAUGACGGAUGUGCGAAAUCUGCUUAAGCACAUGAGGCAGCGGGAAUUCUUAUGCGUCCGUCAAAUGCUUGAACAACGGCAAAUAGCUCAACGAUCCGCGCAUUGGCAAAUCCUCGAAUCACUUUCUCGAUGCAGCAUGGGUAUUAUGAGGGGAAGGGGCUUACUGAGCCGAUCCCGCAAGUUGGCUCGGUGGGCAAGUGGAUGGAUAUCCUCCGUUUCUGCGCUGGCGAAGAAUUACCCGCUCAGCCGUGAAUUCCCAAAACAAUUACAUCCUCAUCAAGUAGAGAUAGAUCAUGCUUGACGUUGGGCAAAUAUGUACUUUGCACAUGCGGUAUACAUUGCCUCUCUCUUUCUCUCUCUCUCUCCAUAUAUAUAUAUAACUCAGGGAUAACACAGAGAGAGCGUGUGAAAUGCACGCCUUCAACUCAUGAACUCAUAUGGUCGAUGGUAAGAUCUAGAAGAACAGCAAUGAAUGAUCUAGGGCCAAAGGAAAAGAGCAAGAACCGAAGCAGUUAAUCUAAGCGGGUUUAUAGAAAACGACAGAAACAGCUUAAACUCCCCCCCAACUGUUCAAUUAAGUGAGCGGGUCUCGUACGCAGUCACGUAGUAUUUAUAUAAAAGAAAAGGGUAUUAUACCAAAGUGCGAUCAUGGGAAUCGAAAAUCCACCAAAAGAGCUCCCAAGAGCCAAAAAAAAAUACCCCGACCCAACAUCACCAUGAUUCCGCCUCGUAUUAUGAUUAUAAUUAUGAUUAUUAUUACUAAAUUAUUUAAUUCUAUCCCCCAAUCCGUCCAUUUCCAACGCCCCUGGCCGACGCAGCAUUUCUAUAAACUUCGCAAUCCUCCGCUUUACUCAUUCCUCUAGCAUUAGCUUUCGUCGUCGGAGACUCUAUCGGCUCGUUACUCGCAAAAUAACAUCACUAGCUGUCAGCUGCUGACAACGCACGAAUACCACUUCCAGCAAAAUGCGCUUCGUCCUGCGAGUCAUAACCCUCACCGUCCUCGUCGUCGAAAUACCGAUCUGUCCAUCGAGAGGAAUCUGCAUGGGAAGUCUUUGAUUGAGAAGAGGACAUUCGGCUGACAGACAUGGUCGGCUGGUGUGGGUCGAUAGAAUUAGUGAUGUCCGUCUUGGCAUAUGGUAAUAUGCGGUUUGGGGUAGCUGGGGACAACAGGGCCCGCAGUGCAUCCAUGGUCUCUGAUGACUCAGGUGGGUGUUGGUUCUCGGGCUUUGGUUGCUGGAUAGUUAGCGUUGAUGAUUUGCCCGGCGGAUCAACUUGGCCAAUGACCUCUUUGCCGGAUUCAGAGGGGCUGCGGCUUGUAGGCAUAGCACGCUCAGCACCGCUCUCAAACUCGUCUGCCGUCUUUGCCGCGGUUGUGUUUGCAAAGUGAGUGUCGACGAGGUGUUUGACGACGGGCCAGCCAUACGCGUUUGCAAACAUACGACGCACUAUAAUGUUGUUGUGUGCGUCGGGCUCAAGGCGUACAAGAACUUUGCGCCAGGAUAAGUCGCGAUGAUAGGCGCGAGCGAUUUUCUCCUCGACUUUCAUGCCACUGGUUGUACCAAGGACCGAAUCGGAAGUCGUUUGGAUUAGUGAGCUAUUAGACUGGUUAUCUAUACUUUUCGCCGUCUCGGUAGGUGAAGGAAGGCUACUGGUGCUAGAAGUUGGAAAAAAGCUGCGAUUCUUUUUUGGGGGCGGCGGGGGUAUAUCCGAUGGGUGGUAUACGCGAUCAUGGAAGAUAGUCCUGGCACGGGUUGAAGGGUCCAGGAUGUACUCUGUUGAAGGUAGAGGCGGUUUGAGGACAUCGCCCGCCGCUUCUAGAAUUGUUGUCUUUGGCGGGGCGUGGUGGCCAUCCUCCUGAUGAAAAGAAUCGCCUCUGGCUGGUUCGGCGCAUGGAGAGCGGGAGGGACCGUCCGUCCAUGGGGUUUCGGCCAACUCAUUGUUACCGACUGUCUGGCUCCGCCUAUAGAUUUUUGAGCUUUUGCUUUGAUUGUGGCCUUUUCCCUGUGGUCUGAACAAGGAAAGGAAACCGGCGAAUGGAUUCGGAUAAGAGCGUGGAGCAAAUUUAACGGGUUGCGUAUCACUCGGUGGUUCAGUGUUACGAGCAACAGUCAAAAACUGGGACUGUUUGGGAAGUUCUGGACUGGUUUCGAAACUUCUACUUGGUCCCUCUGGGCUCUCAGCCGGUGGCUCUGGGAUUUCGCCUUCCGCUCUCUUAGUUGAAGGGAUCAACUUUCCAUUUUUAACCUUAUCGUCCUCGUUGUCGUCAUUGGCAGAAUUUGUAGGUAC